This 772-nucleotide ribosomal RNA is filed under the name uncultured Acidobacteriota bacterium. RNAcentral describes it as "bacterial SSU rRNA". It matches the Rfam family "Bacterial small subunit ribosomal RNA", at positions 1 to 779 of the family's 1533-position model. Lineage: Bacteria; Pseudomonadati; Acidobacteriota. The record is from RNAcentral.
UAGAGUUUGAUCAUGGCUCAGAAUGAACGCUGGCGGCGUGCUUUACACAUGCAAGUCGAGCGAGGCCGGGUAGCAAUACCCGAGUCGAGCGGCGAACGGGUGAGUAACGCGUGGAUACCUGCCUUCGGGUGGGGGAUAACCCGGGGAAACUCGGGCUAAUACCGCAUAUGACCGCGAGGUCAAAGGGGGCCGCAAGGCUCUCGCCGGAAGAGGGGUCCGCGUCCGAUUAGCUAGUUGGUGAGGUAAUGGCUCACCAAGGCGACGAUCGGUAGCCGGCCUGAGAGGGUGAUCGGCCACACUGGAACUGAGACACGGUCCAGACUCCUACGGGAGGCAGCAGUGGGGAAUUUUGCGCAAUGGGGGAAACCCUGACGCAGCAACGCCGCGUGGAGGAUGAAGGUCUUCGGAUUGUAAACUCCUGUCAGUGGGGAAAAAGGGGCGCGGGCUCAUACCCCGUGUCAUUGAUUGUACCCGCAGAGGAAGCCCCGGCUAACUCUGUGCCAGCAGCCGCGGUAAUACAGAGGGGGCAAGCGUUAUUCGGAAUUAUUGGGCGUAAAGGGCGCGUAGGCGGCCUUUCAAGUGGGAGGUGAAAUCCCUCGGCUUAACCGAGGAGCUGCCUCCCAAACUGAAGGGCUUGAGUCCGGGAGAGGUGAGUGGAAUUCCCAGUGUAGCGGUGAAAUGCGUAGAUAUUGGGAGGAACACCAGUGGCGAAGGCGGCUCACUGGACCGGCACUGACGCUGAGGCGCGAAAGCGUGGGGAGCAAACGGGAUU